Molecule: long non-coding RNA, 1505 nt
Filed under: Mus musculus (house mouse)
Lineage: Eukaryota; Metazoa; Chordata; Mammalia; Rodentia; Muridae
Description: long non-coding RNA chr6:141300914-141302419
Source: RNAcentral
UUGCAAGAUUUAAGAUACUAAGCAUGGUGCUUUACAGAAACAGGGUAAAACCUGAUCAAUGAAAUUAGAGAUUCUUUUUAUAGCUUCAGAGCAGUGGCUUUGCAAGAGCUGUAUGACUCUCCUGGUGUUCCUACUGAGAAGAGAGAGCAAAGCCCGAGUACUGCCUUCCUUUCUACAUCUCUUUCUUAUGUCAAAUCAAACUUGAUUUUUAAUAAUAAAGAUGUAUCCCAGAUAUUUAGCUUUCAGAUAAAGUAAAGCCCAGAUGUGUCACUUUGGGAAGCUAAUCGGUUCUGGUGAGGAAUGUUUUAUUAACCAUUAUCACCAAAAUUUUUCUUAUAAAAAUAUUAAGAUAUUGGUGGCAAUAAGGGGAGGAUGGGACCCCAUUUUUCUUUUCGUUCUGCUUUCCCUGCCAAGUUCGCUGUAUUGAUUACUCUCAUUGUCAUUGUGACCAAAUUCCUAUGAAGAGGAAACUUGGCAGAGGAAGGGUGGUUUUGGCUCAUAGUUGGAGGUGAGACAGUCCAUCGUUGUAGGGAAGGCAUGACCCAGAAGUGGGAAGCAGCUAGUCUUGUGUUCAGUCAGGGGACAGCAGACAGCAACUGGAGACUAAGCCAUAUGACCUCAAGGUCUGCCCCAAGUGACUCCCUUCCUCUACUGAGACUCCAUGGUUCUAAGUUUUCACAUCCUAUCAAAACAGCUCCACCAGGGGUCGGGUCGGGUGGGGCUGAAUGUUCAGGAGUGUGAGUAGGUGAAGGGUAUUUCACAUUCAAAUGGGAAGGAGUAGGGGCUUCAGAGAAGGGAGUUUACUACAUUACAGAAAGAGAUGUGUGUGCCAUGGUCUUGGCAGAAUGAGGAGAAAGGAGAGGGAAAGGAGGGCUUGGCCAAACACUGUGGUGUGACUGACCCAUGUAAAUGCUUCAUUUCUCCGGAUUCCAUUUGUAGGAGUCAAGUCUCAAGUAGUAAGCAUGGUUUCCAGUAUCUUUAGUGUGAGAAUCAGCUGAGGUUUAUGGUAAGGAACAGCCCAGGCUGUUCUAUGUCCUUAUUGCUGACGUCAAGGGAGAAGGAAACCCAACUGGUAAUUACAAAUAGGAUUGACCAUGAGCAAUGUUGGUCACAGACUCUCAGCCUGACUGUGGGAUUUUCAGAAGUUUACAAAGAACAUACAAUUCUCUGUAUGUUCUAAGAGCCAGCCCCCAGGUAAAGGCUUGGUCGUGUGAUUUUCCAGAAUUUCUUCCCACCAAAAUCAGUACUUAGGUGUUUUGAGCAUGGUCUGAGAGCUAGGAAGACAUAUUUCCUGGUCAUACAAAUCUGUGUCUAGAAACAGACUGGGUUAAGGUGCAAUCAUUCCACUUUGCCUUCAGAGUCCAGUGAGGUUAUUGGGCAAUAAACGAGUGAAUGUCUUACAUUUCUUCAGCGUGGCAGGCGUUUGGAUUAUACUUCGAUUAGGCGAGGUACAGUGUAUGAAAGGAUAAACUUUUCUCAAGCAGUGGAAUAAAAAAGAAAUUCAC